UGACCAGAAGACUAGAGUAUGAGCCUUCUGUUAUUCCCUGGGCAGGGCCACCAGAGGGCUCCUUGGUCUAGCGGUAAUGCCA
RNAcentral lists this microRNA precursor (82 nucleotides) under Colobus angolensis palliatus. Its description in RNAcentral is "miRNA (ENSCANG00000014112.1)". The record is from RNAcentral. Lineage: Eukaryota; Metazoa; Chordata; Mammalia; Primates; Cercopithecidae.